This 76-nucleotide transfer RNA is filed under the name Faecalibacterium prausnitzii. Its description in RNAcentral is "tRNA-Met". It matches the Rfam family "tRNA". From Rfam's summary of the family: Transfer RNA (tRNA) molecules are approximately 80 nucleotides in length. Their secondary structure includes four short double-helical elements and three loops (D, anti-codon, and T loops). Further hydrogen bonds mediate the characteristic L-shaped molecular structure. tRNAs have two regions of fundamental functional importance: the anti-codon, which is responsible for specific mRNA codon recognition, and the 3' end, to which the tRNAs corresponding amino acid is attached (by aminoacyl-tRNA synthetases). tRNAs cope with the degeneracy of the genetic code in two manners: having more than one tRNA (with a specific anti-codon) for a particular amino acid; and 'wobble' base-pairing, i.e. permitting non-standard base-pairing at the 3rd anti-codon position. The record is from RNAcentral. Lineage: Bacteria; Bacillati; Bacillota; Clostridia; Eubacteriales; Oscillospiraceae. RNAcentral also lists the same sequence under 7 other names.
GGGCCAGUAGUUCAGUGGUUAGAACUCCCCGCUCAUAACGGGGUUAUCGCGGGUUCAAGUCCUGCCUGGCCCACCA